RNAcentral lists this ribosomal RNA (454 nucleotides) under uncultured bacterium. RNAcentral describes it as "bacterial SSU rRNA". It matches the Rfam family "Bacterial small subunit ribosomal RNA", at positions 340 to 786 of the family's 1533-position model. The record is from RNAcentral.
UACGGGAGGCAGCAGUGGGGAAUAUUGCACAAUGGGCGCAAGCCUGAUGCAGCCAUGCCGCGUGUAUGAAGAAGGCCUUCGGGUUGUAAAGUACUUUCAGUCGUGAGGAAGGUGUUAAGGUUAAUAACCUUAGCAAUUGACGUUAGCGACAGAAGAAGCACCGGCUAACUCCGUGCCAGCAGCCGCGGUAAUACGGAGGGUGCGAGCGUUAAUCGGAAUUACUGGGCGUAAAGGGCACGCAGGCGGUUAAUUAAGUUGGAUGUGAAAUCCCCGGGCUUAACCUGGGAAUGACAUUCAAGACUGGUUAGCUAGAGUCUUGUAGAGGGGGUAGAAUUCCAUGUGUAGCGGUGAAAUGCGUAGAGAUGUGGAGGAAUACCGGUGGCGAAGGCGGCCCCUGGGACAAAGACUGACGCUCAUGUGCGAAAGCGUGGGGAGCAAACAGGAUUUAGAUACC